This 468-nucleotide ribosomal RNA is filed under the name uncultured bacterium. Its description in RNAcentral is "partial 16S ribosomal RNA". It matches the Rfam family "Bacterial small subunit ribosomal RNA", at positions 28 to 523 of the family's 1533-position model. The record is from RNAcentral.
GAUGAACGCUGGCGGCGUGCCUAACACAUGCAAGUUGAGCGGUCUUCUUCGGAAGAGAGCGGCGGACGGGUGAGUAACGCGUGGGUAACCUACCCUGUACACACGGAUAACAUACCGAAAGGUAUGCUAAUACGAGAUAAUAUAUUUCAUUCGCAUGUUUGAAAUAUCAAAGCUCCGGCGGUACAGGAUGGACCCGCGUCUGAUUAGCUAGUUGGUGAGGUAACGGCUCACCAAGGCGACGAUCAGUAGCCGACCUGAGAGGGUGAUCGGCCACAUUGGAACUGUGACACGGUCCAAACUCCUACGGGAGGCAGCAGUGGGGAAUAUUGCACAAUGGGCGAAAGCCUGAUGCAGCAACGCCGCGUGAGCGAUGAAGGCCUUCGGGUCGUAAAGCUCUGUCCUCAAGGAAGAUAAUGACGGUACUUGAAGAGGAAGCCCCGGCUAACUACGUGCCAGCAGCCGCGGUAA